This 72-nucleotide transfer RNA is filed under the name Camelus bactrianus (Bactrian camel). It matches the Rfam family "tRNA". From Rfam's summary of the family: Transfer RNA (tRNA) molecules are approximately 80 nucleotides in length. Their secondary structure includes four short double-helical elements and three loops (D, anti-codon, and T loops). Further hydrogen bonds mediate the characteristic L-shaped molecular structure. tRNAs have two regions of fundamental functional importance: the anti-codon, which is responsible for specific mRNA codon recognition, and the 3' end, to which the tRNAs corresponding amino acid is attached (by aminoacyl-tRNA synthetases). tRNAs cope with the degeneracy of the genetic code in two manners: having more than one tRNA (with a specific anti-codon) for a particular amino acid; and 'wobble' base-pairing, i.e. permitting non-standard base-pairing at the 3rd anti-codon position. Lineage: Eukaryota; Metazoa; Chordata; Mammalia; Artiodactyla; Camelidae. RNAcentral also lists the same sequence under 2 other names. The record is from Rfam by way of RNAcentral.
GUAGGUAUAGCUCAGUGGUAGGGUGUGUGCUUAGCAUGCACAAAGUCCAGAGUGCAAUCCCCAGUCCCUCCG